GAUGAAGAACGUAGCGAAAUGCGAUACGUAAUGUGAAUUGCAAAUUCAGUGAAUCAUCGAGUCUUUGAACGCACAUUGCGCCCCCUGGUAUUCCGGGGGGCAUGCCUGUCCGAGCGUCAUUGCUGCCCUCAAGCACGGCUUGUGUGUUGGCCCCGUCCUCCGAUCCCGGGGGACGGGCCCGAAAGGCAGCGGCGGCACCGCGUCCGGUCCUCGAGCGUAUGGGGCUUUGUCACCCGCUCUGUAGGCCCGGCCGGCGCUUGCCGAUCAACCCAAAUUUUUUAUCCAGGUUGACCUCGGAUCAGGUAGGGAUACCCGCUGAACUUAAGCAUAUCAAUAAGCGGAGGA
RNAcentral lists this unclassified non-coding RNA (345 nucleotides) under soil metagenome. RNAcentral describes it as "partial contains 5.8S ribosomal RNA, internal transcribed spacer 2, and large subunit ribosomal RNA". The stretch from base 1 to 119 matches the Rfam family "5.8S ribosomal RNA", at positions 35 to 154 of the family's 154-position model. The record is from RNAcentral.